RNAcentral lists this ribosomal RNA (472 nucleotides) under uncultured bacterium. Its description in RNAcentral is "bacterial SSU rRNA". It matches the Rfam family "Bacterial small subunit ribosomal RNA", at positions 335 to 801 of the family's 1533-position model. The record is from RNAcentral.
ACUCUACGGAGGCAGCAGUAGGGAAUCUUCCACAAUGGGCGCAAGCCUGAUGGAGCAACACCGCGUGAGUGAAGAAGGGUUUCGGCUCGUAAAGCUCUGUUGUUAAAGAAGAACACGUAUGAGAGUAACUGUUCAUACGUUGACGGUAUUUAACCAGAAAGUCACGGCUAACUACGUGCCAGCAGCCGCGGUAAUACGUAGGUGGCAAGCGUUAUCCGGAUUUAUUGGGCGUAAAGAGAGUGCAGGCGGUUUUCUAAGUCUGAUGUGAAAGCCUUCGGCUUAACCGGAGAAGUGCAUCGGAAACUGGAUAACUUGAGUGCAGAAGAGGGUAGUGGAACUCCAUGUGUAGCGGUGGAAUGCGUAGAUAUAUGGAAGAACACCAGUGGCGAAGGCGGCUACCUGGUCUGCAACUGACGCUGAGACUCGAAAGCAUGGGGUAGCGAACAGGAUUAGAUACCCUGGUAGGAUAGCG